UGCGUAUUCGGUAACGUUUAUAAUAGGGCGAAGGCAGCACUCUGCCAAGGCUGUGCUCCCGUCUCACAGCCGGGGGCACUGAGGCGAGGGGCGCCCCGGCCCGCGCGCAGCCGCCCGGGCCCUCGGCUCGAGCUCCGCAGACAGGAGCGGCCUCGCCUCCCCCGCGCCGCGCGCCUGGGCCAGCCUGCGCCGGGGAGGGCCGGGGCCGGGGCCGGGGCCGUCGCCGCCCGUGACCCACAGCGUGAGCACGACGAGCAGCGCCCCGGCGCCCAGCGCCCCCACGAAGCCGGUGAGGAGGCCGAGCGCCAGCGGCCCGACCCAGCCGGCCGGGCUGCGUUCGUAGGGACCCUGGGGCAGACGCUCCACGAUCAGCUGCAGCGCGUCCCAGUCCGGCUCCGGCAGCCAGGCGCGGCGUGGGCGCGGGGCCAGGGGCGCGGCGGCGGGGCGGGGGCCGGGGCCGGGGCCGGGGGCGGGGCCGGGGCCGGGGGCGGGGCCGGGGCCGGGGGCGGGGCCGGGGGCGGGGCCGGGGGCGGGGCCGGGGCCGGGGGCGGGGCCGGCGGCGGGCGGCCGCAUGUAGCGCUGGCCGGACUUGCGCAGCUGCAGCGUCGCCUGCUGGUGGAGGUUCUUGCCCAGCUCCCGGGCCACGUCGGGGCGGCCGCUGCGCCGCAGGGCCCGGACCACGCGGUCCCAAGACAGGGUCGAGGCCUCCGCCGCCAGCCAGGCCGCCAGCUUCUCCCGACAGCCGUCCGACACCUCCGCGGGCUCGGCCGCCGCCCGCCGCCGCCGCCACAGCCGGCCCGGCGGCACGGACGUGGACUCCGGCGGCUCGGCGCGGGCCAGCCGGUCCUCAGAGAGCCGGGCCAGCUCGGCCUCGACGUCCGGCUCCGGCGCCUUCAGGAGCGACUGGAAAUGGCCGCACUCCUCCGGGGUCAGCAGCUCGGCCAGACGGACGGCCGCGUGGGGGCCCAUGGCGUCCAGGGCCCCCGCCGGGACCAGCGCCCAGCCCCAGAGCGCCAGCGCCAGGGCCUGAGCCCGAGCCGCCAUGGCCACCACCGACUGUGACCACGCCGUACCUACUGUGGUGGGAGGGGCUCCGAAC
RNAcentral lists this long non-coding RNA (1099 nucleotides) under Zalophus californianus (California sea lion). RNAcentral describes it as "lncRNA (ENSZCAG00015021723.1)". The record is from RNAcentral. Lineage: Eukaryota; Metazoa; Chordata; Mammalia; Carnivora; Otariidae.